CCAAUAGCGUAUAUUAAAGUUGUUGCAGUUAAAAAGCUCGUAGUUGAAUUUCGGGAUUGACGUAAUGGUCGUGCCUUAAGGGGUAUGAACUGUUACUGUUGAUUUCUCACCUUCUGGAGAAUCUUGAUGUCCUUAAUUGGGUGUCUUGUGGAUCCAGGACCUUUACCUUGAAAAAAUUAGAGUGUUUAAAGCAGGCAUUUUGCUCGAAUACAUUAGCAUG
Molecule: ribosomal RNA, 220 nt
Filed under: uncultured Entrophospora
Lineage: Eukaryota; Fungi; Glomeromycota; Glomeromycetes; Entrophosporales; Entrophosporaceae
Description: uncultured Claroideoglomus partial small subunit ribosomal RNA
Rfam family: Eukaryotic small subunit ribosomal RNA
Source: RNAcentral